UCUCGCAUAGCUCAAUCGGUAGAGCGUCCGGCUGUUAACCGGGAUGUUGCAGGUUCAAGUCCUGCUGUGAGAG
RNAcentral lists this transfer RNA (73 nucleotides) under Lachnospiraceae bacterium. RNAcentral's name for it is "tRNA-Asn". It matches the Rfam family "tRNA". Rfam says of the family: Transfer RNA (tRNA) molecules are approximately 80 nucleotides in length. Their secondary structure includes four short double-helical elements and three loops (D, anti-codon, and T loops). The record is from RNAcentral. Lineage: Bacteria; Bacillati; Bacillota; Clostridia; Lachnospirales; Lachnospiraceae.